CACAAAAAUAUCCGCCAGAGAACUACGAGCAAAACGCUUAAAACUCUAAGGACUUGGCGGUGCUUAAACCCCCCUAGAGGAGCCUGUUCUAUAAUCGAUAAUCCACGAUUUACCCUACCAUCUCUUGCCAAUACCGCCUAUAUACCACCGUCAUUAGCCUACCCUAUGAAGGAUAUAAGAGUAAGCAAAAUAGCUAACAACAGCUAACAAGUCAGGUCAAGGUGUAGCUAAUUGAGAUGGAAGAAAUGGGCUACAUUUUCUAAAUUAGAAAUAAUCUCACGGAAAGAACUAUGAAACAAGUCCUAUAAGCAGGAUUUGGCAGUAGACAUACAU
RNAcentral lists this ribosomal RNA (333 nucleotides) under Stigmochelys pardalis (leopard tortoise). RNAcentral describes it as "partial 12S ribosomal RNA". It matches the Rfam family "Bacterial small subunit ribosomal RNA", at positions 858 to 1349 of the family's 1533-position model. Lineage: Eukaryota; Metazoa; Chordata; Testudines; Testudinidae. The record is from RNAcentral.